UGAGGAGUUAAAGGUUAUGUAUGAUAUGCUCUGCCUCUGCCUCACUCUGCCACCAGGAACUUGGACCAACAAAAAAUGCUUCGUCGGCCAAAACCCCAGCCUCCCUUUGUGUUCUCGGAGAGGUGGUGCCUCUACAGUCCUCCAUGUUGUGCCUCUAAUUGCUUUCACGAGGGUCUCCAGAGUGAACAGUAGUUGUCAGCAGAGGAGAAAGUGACACGUAUUGAUUUGAAAAUGGGGGCUGGAUCUCAUUAAGGCUUUCCCCCCCGACAAAAUGCCACGCUCUCAUUUCUCCUCAAAAACUGAAGCCCAGCCAAGCCAGCUAAGGUCUUUCUCAGCGUCUGCUGUGCUCCCUCAGGUUAUCCCUCAGGAUGAUGCACUGCACUGUAUCCCUGAAAACUCGCCUGCACAAAACACACUAAGCAGGCAAUGAUGCAGCAUAAUGCUCCCAUAAGGUGCACAACUAAGGUUAAUGCAUAAAGUCAAUUUGGUUCAGAGAAACCUAUCUCUGCUGCAGACCUCCACACAACUCAGUCAGCCAUGUUUAUAGAGUCACUCUAAGUUCAUUCUUUUAGUCGCUGUUCUGGAGCUUUCCAUUGUAUCUUCAUCAACAGAUGUCAUCAGGACGGUUCAACUGCGUGAAUGCCAAAAACCAAACAUUUCCAAACAUUAUUGGUGGCAUGCUUCUGCAAAAUUGGCCCGGGAUCAGGUCACAGAGGCAGUGUUCCAGACAUCCCUCUCCCCGGCAACGCUUUCCAGCUACUCCUGGGGGAUCCUGAGACGCUUCCAGGCCAGAUGGGACAUGUAGCCCCUCCAGCGAGUUCUGGUUCUACCUCUCGGUCUCCUCCCAGCCGCCACCCGCGGACACAAGCUGGGCUCCCGUGCAGCAUACCAGAGCGUGCCACAUGUUCAGUGGCGCACCGAGCCUCCGCCUGUCGCUCAUGAAUUAUUCAUGACCCGGUGCCGACGGAAAAGCUGUGAUGUCAGAGAUUCCAGUUCUCGGUGUCCUGUUUCCUGGGCGGCCACACAGUGACACAGCAGCUC
Long non-coding RNA from Scophthalmus maximus (turbot), 1041 nucleotides. RefSeq lists it as uncharacterized. NCBI's taxonomy places the organism in Eukaryota, Metazoa, Chordata, Actinopteri, Pleuronectiformes, Scophthalmidae. The transcript has 4 exons. The record is from RefSeq and is a predicted model, not a curated record.